Long non-coding RNA from Camelina sativa (false flax), 978 nucleotides. RefSeq lists it as uncharacterized. The record is from RefSeq and is a predicted model, not a curated record. NCBI's taxonomy places the organism in Eukaryota, Viridiplantae, Streptophyta, Magnoliopsida, Brassicales, Brassicaceae.
GAAAUUAGUUAUUUGAUUGCCAACAUAGAAUGCAGAUGCAACUAUUUAGGAAACUAUAUUAAACAGAAGAUAUGGGAAUCCAUUUACGAAUUGUUAAGAAAGCUGGGAAAUGCGCGAUCCAAUCACGUUCAUUCUGGCUCCCAGGAAAUUAUCCCAACAAUAGUGUUGUUGUGUUAGAUUUCCUUUUUCUCCUUGUCAUCUCUUAGGCCAUCUUUAUCGCCAUAUCUUUUGUGGUGUUCUUGGGCUUUUUAUAUUUGGAAAAAAUUAGAAACUGGGUUUAGAUCACAAAAAAACUGAUCUUAUUUGAGAACUGUUUUUUAGGUUGUUCUUGUGUGACGUGGCUGAUUGUUAUUGGAAAUUUUUCUUUUGGCAAACGAGAGAUCAAAUCUCAUUUCAUUUUCUUCGAUAUUGUCGAGCUAGCUUUUGUUUUUGUUUCUUCUUCUGUUCGAAAUCGCAUCUAGGUUUUCUUGUUUCUCUCCUUCUGCUGUUCUUAUUUUUUACUUCGAUUGUUGAUUUUGGCGAAUUGGGUUUCUCUGGAUUGAUUUUGGGCGAUGUUGAUGUCGAUUUUGUUGGUUUAAUUCAGUUAAUUUUCGCUAUUGACUAAUCGAUCGUGCGUAUGGAUUACUAUUUCCACUGGGUGAACCGAUUGAGCAGGUGGUUGUUCUGAUCGAACAAAGUGAAAAGCUGGGGAAGACAUUGCUGAACAAGAGAGGGCUAGAUAUUCGUGUUGCAGCUCUUGUAAGUCCUUUACAAGUCCUUGGGAACAAGAAGCUAUAGCGACGAAAGUACCUUCAGGACAAGGGAUUGUCAAGUUACCCAUGGGAUGAUCAUACACCGGAACUCUUAUUUGGCCUUACUCAACAGAGCUUCGAAUGAUGGCUGGUUCAAGAAUGAAACCCGCUCCAUAUAUCUCUUCUUCUUGCUCUCCCCUAGAAUUUCUUUUGGUGUCAAAGCUGCUUUUGUUUGUUAGAAUAUUCU